RNAcentral lists this long non-coding RNA (1688 nucleotides) under Neogale vison (American mink). RNAcentral describes it as "Neovison vison (American mink) lncRNA (ENSNVIG00000014568.1)". Lineage: Eukaryota; Metazoa; Chordata; Mammalia; Carnivora; Mustelidae. The record is from RNAcentral.
GAAAAGGAUUAUAUGUGAGGAAAUGGAUGGAUAACCCCAUUGCUUUCAUAGGUUUGUUGGUAGUGCUUAUUGCUGAAUUGGGAUCAAGUGACAUUUAAUAAGGCCAGUCUUGAACAUUACUGAAUUGUACCUGUGAAAAGGAAGUUGGAGUCUGCAGUGGCUGGACCAAGAAACAGGCCUGUCAGAUCCUGGGAGGAACUACUCCUCCCUGCAUGCCAUCCUCGCAGCUCUGCAGAGUGUCUCCAUUCGCUGCCUGAAGAGGACAUGGGACAGAGUUUCCAGGAGCGGCCCUCAAAUAAACUUGCCACCCUGGUGAGGAAGCUGCAGAGAGCACGGCAUGGGCUGCCAAAGAAGGGGAAUGAGAUCAACUACUCCAAAAAGAAUAAGCCCACGAGUAUGCUUUGGUGGUUCUACUUCCUACAGUACUGUGCAACAUGUAGAGACUCUCUUAUUGCUUUCUGAAUCCAAAAAUCUUAGAGUCAUCAGGUUUUCAAAAUGGCAGGUAGAGGAAGGGCCAGCCCUUCUCACUACCUACAGGUGGCAUCUCCAAAUCCUCUUUCCUCAGAGGACAGGUUUAUUUCAGUGUCAGGCAUCUGAGCCAACAGCAGAGACAGCCCUCAGGACUCCUUUGAUGGAGAGGUUGCAGGUCCUUUCCCAGGAAGGCAACACUGAACUGGAGAGUCCAUGAGCAUGACUUACACUCUCCAGAGAAAUGUGUGGUGCCAAGGAGAGGGGCUGUUUUUCUCCCCUCUAAAUCAAGGAGGACUACGUCUUUUUUCCUUUGGGAUAUGGUGUUUGUGCUUGUGUUUGUGUUAGUUUGGACCCAGUAUUUGGAACUGACAGUUGUCGAGUUCAGUCUCUGGAAUUGCAUCAGCACUAAGUGGGGAAAAACAUGUAAAGAGAUCCAGUCCCAAUUGUGGCAGGUAGGACAUUCUGGACACAUUUUCCCUUUAAGCUCUCCAGUUUCAUGCUUUACGAAGAAUGGAAUCCUCCUGGGAUGGUUAUCUAUGAUCUCUGGAUUCCAUUUCCCUGCUCUUUAUGGAUCUGCUGGGGAAAAUAAGAAACCGGGAGGUGUACAUUUGGGGCUGCGCUGGGCCUGGCUCUAUUCACAUCUAUGCUGACCUAGGAGCUAGGAUGUCCAGCCUUCCUGCAUUUUCUUACACAGUUCCUGAUAAGGCAGCAGAGCCCUCCAGGCCCCAGCCUCUUAGUCAGGUCCAUGGUAGCCACUGCUCCCUGCUGGGGACUGAUGGAGCAGAGAUUGGUUCAGUUUUACCAGGAUAAAUGUUCAUAUGUUGACCAGAGAUUCCCACACUCUACUUGCUGGCCAAGGAGACUGUUAAGUCCAAGUGGUUCUGAAGUCCCUGGUCUCCAACAUCGACCAUGUGACACCCCCAUGUUCCACUCACUUGUCUGAAAUAGGGAUCUCACCUGACCCAGUAGACCAAAACACAGAUGUAAACUAGGCAGAGGGGAAGCAUCUGUCAUGCAAAUGGAUGCCAAAGGAAGCAAGGGUAGGAAUACCUCUAUCCAGAGAAAACAGACUCUUAAGAAAAAAGGGGGUUGGUAGGAUAACACAAAGAAGGAAAUGGAGGCCCCGCAAUGGCACCAAUGGAACAGUAAUACAGAGGAGGUUCUCCUGACACCUGCUUCAGGAUCCCAACUCACUGAGCAAGAGUGAAGAAACCCCA